RNAcentral lists this long non-coding RNA (486 nucleotides) under Elaeis guineensis (African oil palm). Its description in RNAcentral is "long non-coding RNA (EGUI_LNC078186)". The record is from RNAcentral. Lineage: Eukaryota; Viridiplantae; Streptophyta; Magnoliopsida; Arecales; Arecaceae.
CUAUGGGACAGAAGCAAUGAUACCACUUGAUAUCAGAUUAUCUUUAAUAAGGGUUGAGCAAUAUAGUGAGUUGAGCAAUUUUGAAUGUUGGAGAGUCGAUCUAGAUCUACUUCUAGAAAUUCGACAGUAAGCUUAAGUUCGAAUGACAGCAUAUCGGCAAAGGAUAGCCUGGUAUUACAAUACAAAAGUUAAACCGAAGAUCUUCCAUCCAGGAGAUUGGAUCUUAAGCAGAGUGGAAGUCUCGAGACCUCUUGACCAGAAAAAGUUAUCUCUGAACUAGGAAGGAUCCUACAGAAUAACGGAACACUUCGAUUGGGCGCAUAUCGGCUAAAAACUCUAGAGGGAGUAACCAUUCUCCGAACAUGAAAUGCUGAUAACUUGAAAAUAUAUUAUUAAUAAAGUUAUCCGUUUAUAUAUCAUUCAGAAUGAAAUAUUGAAUUUCAGAAUCACAAGUUUCAGUCAACUAUAAAGUGAUAAUAGACCGAC